GAUGGACCCGCGGUGCAUUAGCUAGUUGGUGAGGUAACGGCUCACCAAGGCCACGAUGCAUAGCCGACCUGAGAGGGUGAUCGGCCACAUUGGGACUGAGACACGGCCCAAACUCCUACGGGAGGCAGCAGUAGGGAAUCUUCGGCAAUGGACGAAAGUCUGACCGAGCAACGCCGCGUGAGUGAAGAAGGUUUUCGGAUCGUAAAACUCUGUUGUUAGAGAAGAACAAGGAUGAGAGUAACUGUUCAUCCCUUGACGGUAUCUAACCAGAAAGCCACGGCUAACUACGUGCCAGCAGCCGCGGUAAUACGUAGGUGGCAAGCGUUGUCCGGAUUUAUUGGGCGUAAAGCGAGCGCAGGCGGUUUCUUAAGUCUGAUGUGAAAGCCCCCGGCUCAACCGGGGAGGGUCAUUGGAAACUGGGAGACUUGAGUGCAGAAGAGGAGAGUGGAAUUCCAUGUGUAGCGGUGAAAUGCGUAGAUAUAUGGAGGAACACCAGUGGCGAAGGCGGCUCUCUGGUCUGUAACUGACGCUGAGGCUCGAAAGCGUGGGGAGCAAACAGGAUUAGAUACCCUGGUAGUCCACGCCGUAAACGAUGAGUGCUAAGUGUUGGAGGGUUUCCGCCCUUCAGUGCUGCAGCUAACGCAUUAAGCACUCCGCCUGGGGAGUACGACCGCAAGGUUGAAACUCAAAGGAAUUGACGGGGGCCCGCACAAGCGGUGGAGCAUGUGGUUUAAUUCGAAGCAACGCGAAGAACCUUACCAGGUCUUGACAUCCUUUGACCACUCUAGAGAUAGAGCUUCCCCUUCGGGGGCAAAGUGACAGGUGGUGCAUGGUUGUCGUCAGCUCGUGUCGUGAGAUGUUGGGUUAAGUCCCGCAACGAGCGCAACCCUUAUUGUUAGUUGCCAUCAUUCAGUUGGGCACUCUAGCAAGACUGCCGGUGACAAACCGGAGGAAGGUGGGGAUGACGUCAAAUCAUCAUGCCCCUUAUGACCUGGGCUACACACGUGCUACAAUGGGAAGUACAACGAGUUGCGAAGUCGCGAGGCUAAGCUAAUCUCUUAAAGCUUCUCUCAGUUCGGAUUGCAGGCUGCAACUCGCCUGCAUGAAGCCGGAAUCGCUAGUAAUCGCGGAUCAGCACGCCGCGGUGAAUACGUUCCCGGGCCUUGUACACACCGCCCGUCACACCACGAGAGUUUGUAACACCCGAAGUCGGUGAGGUAACCUUUUGGAGCCAGCCGCCUAAGGUGGGAUAGAUGAUUGGGGUGAAGUCGUAACAAGGUAGCCGUAUCGGAAGGUGCGGCUGGAUCACCUCCUUUCUAAGGAA
Molecule: ribosomal RNA, 1324 nt
Filed under: Enterococcus faecium
Lineage: Bacteria; Bacillati; Bacillota; Bacilli; Lactobacillales; Enterococcaceae
Description: bacterial SSU rRNA
Rfam family: Bacterial small subunit ribosomal RNA
Source: RNAcentral